GAGGGUCUAGCUCAGGGAUAGAGCACGUGCUUAGCAUGCACAAGAGCCUGGGUUCAAUCCCCAGCACCUCCA
RNAcentral lists this transfer RNA (72 nucleotides) under Camelus ferus (Wild Bactrian camel). It matches the Rfam family "tRNA". From Rfam's summary of the family: Transfer RNA (tRNA) molecules are approximately 80 nucleotides in length. Their secondary structure includes four short double-helical elements and three loops (D, anti-codon, and T loops). Further hydrogen bonds mediate the characteristic L-shaped molecular structure. tRNAs have two regions of fundamental functional importance: the anti-codon, which is responsible for specific mRNA codon recognition, and the 3' end, to which the tRNAs corresponding amino acid is attached (by aminoacyl-tRNA synthetases). tRNAs cope with the degeneracy of the genetic code in two manners: having more than one tRNA (with a specific anti-codon) for a particular amino acid; and 'wobble' base-pairing, i.e. permitting non-standard base-pairing at the 3rd anti-codon position. Lineage: Eukaryota; Metazoa; Chordata; Mammalia; Artiodactyla; Camelidae. The record is from Rfam by way of RNAcentral.